Molecule: long non-coding RNA, 1031 nt
Organism: Myotis brandtii (Brandt's bat)
Lineage: Eukaryota; Metazoa; Chordata; Mammalia; Chiroptera; Vespertilionidae
Exons: 3
Source: RefSeq, a predicted model, not a curated record
CCACGAGGCUCUUCCAUUCCCAGCCGUUCAGGUCUCUUGGUUCUGCCAUACAUUUCCUCAAUUUUUUAUUUUUUCUCUCCUAAUCUUUCGUUGUCUUAAGAUUUCUAAGAGGCUGUUUACUCGAGCCUCCUCACUAGUUAUCAGCAGUUUGCUUCCAUUUUAUGAGAAGCUUGUUUUAGAAAAGGAAUAAUCUGUACUUAAUUAUAAAAACUUUAUUUGGUUUACCUCAUCCGUUAUUACCCACAUCAGACACCCUCACCAAACAGGUUUCCAACGUUCCUUCUAUGCAACCUCAAACAGAUUACAUACUGGCUUAUUUGCAUAACUCUCUCUAUCACAAAGCAGCAUCUUUUAAUUGAGGUCUUCUUUUAAGCCUUGGAGGAAGGAUCAUGUUUAGAGAACAAAAUGCGAAUCAAGAAAGUUAACUUUCAGGACUCCAAAGAGCUAUUUGGUGUCCAAAUAAAGGAACAUUAAAGUACCAAGAACAACUGAAAAAGAGGAAGAAGAAAGAAGGAAGGUAAAUGAGGGGCACACUAGAAGUCUGUGCAACUGAACCUUGAGCGAAACAAAGAAAGAUGAAGCAAAGCGCCCAAAGGCCUGAAAUGAUGGACACAUUUCAGGGAUAGGGGUCAGAGGUGAGCGGCAAGAUUCAAACCAGAGCUCGGCUGCUGGGGGAGCCCAAGGCAUCUUUCAGGGUCUAAUGGACCAUCCACAAAAUGGAUGAUGAUGGUGACCAAAUGAACAGGCAGCCACGUGCUUUCAUUCUGAGCUUUUAAGCCAUGUGUGGUCAGAGGCUGUACCUCAGGAUACGGGAAGGAACAGUUUAAGGAGUAAACAUUAUGAAUGCCAUUAUUAAUAACCAUACUACUCUCUUGCUUUCAGAGUACAACCCACAGGCCUUCGAUAGCUAACAUACCAUGAUCUCAGAAUAUGGCACCUUUAAGAGAAGGGUGAGCUUGAGCAGCACAUGGAAAAAGAACCCUUGAGGUCCUCCCCCAACGCAGCGGUUCUCAACCUGUGGGUCGCAAACA